AAACGCCGGCACUAAGCAGUUAUUUCACUCAGAGACGUAGUACAAAACAAAUAUGGAGGAAAUUUAUUUGAUUUUCGCAGACAAGAGAUUUGAUGGCCUUCGUCAGCUGCGGCCAGUGCUGCCAGACUAAAAUGCUUUUUCUAGAAUCGGCCACUGUUCUCGUUGAACUCCUCGAAGAUUUCAAUAUGCGACGUAAUCUACAGACAGCGUGUCGCGAUUCCGAUCCAGUGGUAGAUCCAGCGAAGCACUGCUUUUGCUAGAGCAAAUGUCAAAAUGAUCUAAAUUAAAGUCAAAAUAGUCGCUCAAGGCUAUUAGCAAAAAGUUGUAGGCAAAACAAGCGCCUAAAAAUUGUCCAAAGUUAAUUUGAAAUUUGUCUUGGUGUCAUUUUCCAAUUUUUCAUAAGCUGGUAACAUUAAAACACGUUCCAAAGAUUUGCUAUAAGACGAAUGCAAAUUUUCACAUACAAUAUUUAUUCUUCACUUUAACUAGAUCAUUUUCCAUAUAGCCAUCCUGUUGUCGGAUAUGCAAAUGUUUCUCAAACAUGGAGUUAAUAAAAUAGUAACUCUAUGUUCUCAAAUUAAUGGUAUAAAAUGUUUUGUUGUCAGAUAACAAAGCAAUUGUGACAAAAAUUAUAGUAUAAUAAAGUAGGUAUAAUCAUUUUAUUUUAAUUAUUUUCAACACCGUCGUUCGAGGAUCGAGGAGGUUUUACUUUUUUGUAUGCAGACAACUAAAGACAUCAUUAUUGUAAACACUUAGGUAAUUACAUAGUCAUGUUACUU
Bombyx mori (domestic silkworm) is the source of this 779-nucleotide long non-coding RNA. RefSeq lists it as uncharacterized. The record is from RefSeq and is a predicted model, not a curated record. The transcript is spliced from 2 exons. Lineage: Eukaryota; Metazoa; Arthropoda; Insecta; Lepidoptera; Bombycidae.